Molecule: long non-coding RNA, 650 nt
Organism: Adelges cooleyi (spruce gall adelgid)
Lineage: Eukaryota; Metazoa; Arthropoda; Insecta; Hemiptera; Adelgidae
Exons: 2
Source: RefSeq, a predicted model, not a curated record
GCUGGAAAUUAUUAAAACACAUUGCUCGAGUGGGCCGCGGUGGGGUUAUGCGCGGUACACAUAGUAUGCGGAUUGGGGCAGCAGAGUACCUAUAUAUACCGUACAGGAUUUAAGAUUGGAUAUCAGUGAUUUGCAGUCAUCACGUCUUGCUAAAAAUACCUUUGAGUUCUAACCCGAAAACACCUCUCAACCAAACAUCAUCAUGUACAAGUUAAUGUUGUUGCUCGUCGCCGCCAUGGCCCUCAUCGCCGCCGUCUCCUCCCAAGUCAUCUACACUUACCCGGCCACUUACCCGUCCGUGUACACUUACCCGCAGUACCAGACGUACAACUACCCGUUGACUUACCCGAUUGUCUACCCGCUGCUCCGCCGAUAGACCCGCACGAGUCGCACACAUACUUCCACGAAGCAAAUACACACGACAACAACUGAUAAGUGUCUGUAACACUUACUCAAGUCAUGUACUUCACCGCCGCGGCUUCCUGGAUCUUUCUUCGCUCAACGUUCUUACUUACACAGCACGAGUCUUUAUCAAUUUCAUAAAAUGACAUCUUCACAACACACCUUCUAUUCUGUACUGUUUAUUUAUUUUUAAUAUUCAAUUGCUCUGAAAAUAAACUAUUGUUUUUUUUAUCAGUACCUAAAAAACA